Molecule: long non-coding RNA, 481 nt
Filed under: Homo sapiens (human)
Lineage: Eukaryota; Metazoa; Chordata; Mammalia; Primates; Hominidae
Description: HSALNT0294033
Source: RNAcentral
UUUGAGUAAGUGAAAUGAAGCGUGAAUAACUGCCUAAUUAGUGGACAUGAAAACUGGACAGUCUCCAAAGUCAUCAGAGAUGACCACGCUUGCCAGGCAACUUACUAGACUAAGGGUGAGUCCAUUUGUAAUCAUCCCAGCUGGGAGGUGGCUGGGAGGUUUGACCUAGGGCUCAGAAGACUGGCUAACCUGGAUAAAGCCAUUCAAGACAAUCAGGUGACGUGCCCAUCAUGCAGGAAGCUUCUCCAAGGCUGGCGAGAGCAACUUGUCUGCUUUGAGAAAUGCAGAUCUAUCAGGAUCCAGAAUCGGACUCUGAAAAAGCUGUCAUUUCAUGUCUCUAAAACAGCCUUUGAUUUAAUGUACAAGAUGUCAAGAAGUAAAGGACAAUAAAAUAAAAACCAAAAAAGGAGAACUAUUUCAAUUAAGAAGCAUUCCUAUAUCAAUUCUUGGAAAUCACAUAAAAUAAAAGCUGUCAGAAUCA